CCCGCGUGUAAAUAAUUCGCCGGCCGGUUUCGUAGCGAGUGAGAUAUCACGGUGACAUAACAAUGCGCAGCUGGCACGCAUUAUCGCGAAUCUCGUUCGCGCGGAAUGCCGGGUUACGCGCAUGCGCGCCAAAUCUCCGGCCACUUUUCAGGUUAUGUUAACUUUUUUCUCGAUGUAUUUAAAUGCAUCGCUUGCUCAUCAAAGGUUUUUGUUAACCUCGCAUAAAUGAAACUAUGAAAGAUAAAAUAGUUUAUUACGUAAUUUAUCAUUAUGUAGCAGUGUUUUGAUAAAACGUAAAAGAUUUGAUGAAUUUUUUGAAUUCAGUUACACGAGACAGGUGGGCAACAAUGUAUAGAACAUACGAAUGUUCAAAAUAACCUCAAAAUAGCGUCACUAACACAAAACUCAUGUGUACGUCUCCGCAACUUCUACUCUUCUCCACAAAACAACUGUCAUAUUUCGGUAGUGCGACGAAGAUAAAUAAAAAUAGAAAGUCGGUGAAUGAUAUACGAAAUAGAAGAAACUUUCCUUUUCCAAUGACCGUAGUGAGGCAACGAUGACCGUGUUAAAAUUCUCCGAGCGUUUGUCGGCCAGGUAUCAAAAGGAUUUCGCGUGGAGAGAAAUAAACUAUGACUAUGACUAUAAACAAGAUGGAUGACUAUAAGCAAGAUGGAUGACUAUGACUAUGGUGCAUGACUAUAAUUAUAACUUUCAAAGUUACACAACAUGAAAGAAAUAAAUUAAUACAUAAAAUGGAUUAACAGAUGAACAGAUAAAUUAGUAGAUUAACAGACCAACACAAGAACGUACUGCAAUAUUGAAUUUACUACUAUGUUGCUACUACGAAUUGAUACAACUUAAGGUUCAGUUUGAUAUCAAUGUAACUAAAUUAGUUUCAAUCAAAUCAAGCUUAAUUACUAUCGAUUUCAAUCAAAGCAAGUUUAAUUACCAUAUACACGUAUUAUACAAGAUAUUCCAGUAAAAUGUAUACGCACGUUGUCGCUGUAUGCAAUUUGAUGAAUAAAAUGAAUGGAAGACUCAAAAUGGCCGCCAUCAAUGCCUUUUGAUGUAAUUUUUAUGGUUGAUGUUCUGAGUGUUUGUGUAUUGCUGUGUAUUCAUCUAUUUAUCUAUGUGUUUAUUUGUAUAAGUAGCUGUCUAUUUAUCUACAUAUU
This 1172-nucleotide unclassified non-coding RNA is filed under the name Megachile rotundata (alfalfa leafcutting bee). RNAcentral describes it as "uncharacterized LOC105662455, transcript variant X3". Lineage: Eukaryota; Metazoa; Arthropoda; Insecta; Hymenoptera; Megachilidae. The record is from RNAcentral.